Long non-coding RNA from Rhinichthys klamathensis goyatoka, 1831 nucleotides. RefSeq lists it as uncharacterized. Lineage: Eukaryota; Metazoa; Chordata; Actinopteri; Cypriniformes; Leuciscidae. The transcript has 3 exons. The record is from RefSeq and is a predicted model, not a curated record.
GCACAGUUGGGCCGAUUCUGGCUGAAAUGCGUCAGUGUUGGCUCACUGUCGGCAUCGGUGAACAGAUACUGGGCCAGAUCCUUGCCGACUGUGCAUAACAUUAUGCUGACUUACGGCGUUUUCUGUAUGGGCCAGUAUCGGCUGAAAGCAGUUGCACAGGUGUCAGGUAUGCUCGGUGUAACUGUGUGUAUUUACCAUCGGCCCGAUUUAGUUUUGUCACAAGCGGGCCACUACUAGAAUUAAGGAACUCAGCCGGCUGAAAAAAGGUUUCGGCGGUUAAUUUAAAUCCUGAGGAAGAUCCUGCAGUGCAGAAGCAGACCAACGUUAUCGAGAGGAAUCAUUCAGCUGCAAACACGAAUGCAGUUCAGAGAAACCCUCAUGGCUAAUGUUGCUGAAAUGGAGAUCGAGGGAUCCAUGAAAUGGCAGCAGAUCGAGGGGCAGACACAAGAUAAGUUUAAAAAUAUAUUAAAAACACAACUCCUUAACCGAGCAUAAACAUAACACACUCCCACAUUUCUAUAAUUCACAUCCGUUAAAGGUAGCUUACACCAAAUGUACUUGUUACAUCGGAAGAAGAAGAAAUGCUUAUCCUGACUAAUCCCAACUGUGAUACUUUUAUUCUCAUAUUUCUUAUAUUUAAAUUUUUUUUUUUAUAAUUUGUAUUACUAUGUUUCUUGUUGUAUUUGUAUAUGUGCACUGGAAGCCUCAGCCCCAAAACAAAUUCCUUGUGUGUGCAAGCACACUUGGCAAUAAAGCUCUUUCUGAUUCUGAUUCAGAAUGGCAUCUAUUUUAAUGUUAGUCUCUCUGUCUCAUUCUGAUCCCAAGGUUAGGAUGUAGUCAUCCGGAUCUAGUCUGCAUCCAGACCAGAUGGUGGACCUGCACCCUAAGAUGACUACAACAGCCUGAAUGCCAGACGAGAACAUCACUAGACAAGACCUAGAAACAAACGCCUGUGAAGACCUCGUUGACACAACAGUCCUCGGCACAGUCAUCGGAUCAGAUCCAGAGAAACAGACCAGUCCACCACACAGACCCAACGGCCAGCUUUAACUCCCCUCCCACCGAUGCCGGCGUGAUCUUAUGAAGGAAAAGGAGCUGAAUAAAAUACUCUGAAUGAUAUCAAUCCACAAUCUGACUGGUGAAGCAGCCUGGAAUCCUAACACACACCGUGUUCGUUGUUUGGCCAGAGGAGAACUGGCCCCCCGACUCAGCCUGGUUUUUCUUUCUUCGUUUCGUCACUGAUGGAGUUUGGGUUUUUGCCACUGUCGCCUCUGGCUUGCUUAUUUGGGGACACUUAUUCUUAAUACUGAUCAGCCUGCAUUGACACCAUUAUAUGAGAACUGAACUGAGCUGGAUGAUGACAUCACUGUUUUCUGCAGAGCUGCUUAAUAAUGAAAAUGGACUCUUUUUAUAAUUGAUAUACUUUAUACAGUUAUUUAACAGAACUGAAUCAACACAGCUGAAUUCAGCUGAACAAUGACACUAUUUUCUUUUUAGAGCAGCUUUACAGCCAAAUUUAACUCUGUUUGCAUCAUUGAUCAUUUUCCUGUUUAACCAUGUAAAGCUGCUUUGAAACAGUCAUUACUGUAUAGGGCUAUAUAUUUAAUGGUGACUUGACAUUUGCAAAAGGAAUUUAUUUAGUGUUAAAGAAUGAGAGUUUGUGAGUGAAAGAGAAUGUUUUUUCUUUUAAUCAUAUAUAAUAAAUUUAAUUUUCUUAUUAUUUUGUUUAAAAAUUGUGUUGUUAAAUAUUUAUUUUGUUCAUUGUUAAUAUAUGUUUAUAUUGAAGUGUAUUUGUUAAUUUUAUAAUAAAAACCCUUUUUAAAUGGUUGAA